UAGUGGCGAACGGGUGAGUAACACGUGAGUAACCUGCCCUUGACUCUGGGAUAAGCCUGGGAAACUGGGUCUAAUACCGGAUACGACCAUUCCACGCAUGUGGUGGUGGUGGAAAGCUUUUGUGGUUUUGGAUGGACUCGCGGCCUAUCAGCUUGUUGGUGGGGUAAUGGCCUACCAAGGCGACGACGGGUAGCCGGCCUGAGAGGGUGACCGGCCACACUGGGACUGAGACACGGCCCAGACUCCUACGGGAGGCAGCAGUGGGGAAUAUUGCACAAUGGGCGCAAGCCUGAUGCAGCGACGCCGCGUGAGGGAUGACGGCCUUCGGGUUGUAAACCUCUUUCAGUAGGGAAGAAGCGUAAGUGACGGUACCUGCAGAAGAAGCGCCGGCUAACUACGUGCCAGCAGCCGCGGUAAUACGUAGGGCGCAAGCGUUAUCCGGAAUUAUUGGGCGUAAAGAGCUCGUAGGCGGUUUGUCGCGUCUGCUGUGAAAGACCGGGGCUCAACUCCGGUUCUGCAGUGGGUACGGGCAGACUAGAGUGCAGUAGGGGAGACUGGAAUUCCUGGUGUAGCGGUGAAAUGCGCAGAUAUCAGGAGGAACACCGAUGGCGAAGGCAGGUCUCUGGGCUGUAACUGACGCUGAGGAGCGAAAGCAUGGGGAGCGAACAGGAUUAGAUACCCUGGUAGUCCAUGCCGUAAACGUUGGGCACUAGGUGUGGGGGACAUUCCACGUUUUCCGCGCCGUAGCUAACGCAUUAAGUGCCCCGCCUGGGGAGUACGGCCGCAAGGCUAAAACUCAAAGGAAUUGACGGGGGCCCGCACAAGCGGCGGAGCAUGCGGAUUAAUUCGAUGCAACGCGAAGAACCUUACCAAGGCUUGACAUGAACCGGAAAGACCUGGAAACAGGUGCCCCGCUUGCGGUCGGUUUACAGGUGGUGCAUGGUUGUCGUCAGCUCGUGUCGUGAGAUGUUGGGUUAAGUCCCGCAACGAGCGCAACCCUCGUUCUAUGUUGCCAGCGCGUGAUGGCGGGGACUCAUAGGAGACUGCCGGGGUCAACUCGGAGGAAGGUGGGGACGACGUCAAAUCAUCAUGCCCCUUAUGUCUUGGGCUUCACGCAUGCUACAAUGGCCGGUACAAAGGGUUGCGAUACUGUGAGGUGGAGCUAAUCCCAAAAAGCCGGUCUCAGUUCGGAUUGGGGUCUGCAACUCGACCCCAUGAAGUCGGAGUCGCUAGUAAUCGC
Molecule: ribosomal RNA, 1240 nt
Filed under: Arthrobacter sp. D5r1-1
Lineage: Bacteria; Bacillati; Actinomycetota; Actinomycetes; Micrococcales; Micrococcaceae
Description: bacterial SSU rRNA
Rfam family: Bacterial small subunit ribosomal RNA
Source: RNAcentral